UAGGGAAUCUUCGGCAAUGGACGAAAGUCUGACCGAGCAACGCCGCGUGAGUGAAGAAGGUUUUCGGAUCGUAAAACUCUGUUGUUAGAGAAGAACAAGGACGUUAGUAACUGCACGUCCCCUGACGGUAUCUAACCAGAAAGCCACGGCUAACUACGUGCCAGCAGCCGCGGUAAUACGUAGGUGGCAAGCGUUGUCCGGAUUCAUUGGGCGUAAAGCGAGCGCAGGCGGUUUCUUAAGUCUGAUGUGAAAGCCCCCGGCUCAACCGGGGAGGGUCAUUGGAAACUGGGAGACUUGAGUGCAGAAGAGGAGAGUGGAAUUCCAUGUGUAGCGGUGAAAUGCGUAGAUAUAUGGAGGAACACCAGUGGCGAAGGCGGCUCGCUGGUCUGUAACUGACGCUGAGGCUCGAAAGCGUGGGGAGCAAACAGG
Molecule: ribosomal RNA, 429 nt
Filed under: Gemmatimonadota bacterium
Lineage: Bacteria; Pseudomonadati; Gemmatimonadota
Description: Gemmatimonadetes bacterium partial 16S ribosomal RNA
Rfam family: Bacterial small subunit ribosomal RNA
Source: RNAcentral